AUCGCCUUAGAAUAACCAGAAGGUGAAACACGACACCAUUCUGGUUCAGACAAAGGCGCAUAUUAACACGAAUUAGUUUGAGGGUAGGGAACGCUUCUUCUCCUGUUCCAUACCUAGAUGGCUUCGGAUAUUA
This is a small nucleolar RNA of Prosopis cineraria, 133 nucleotides long. RefSeq annotates it as small nucleolar RNA snoR138. NCBI's taxonomy places the organism in Eukaryota, Viridiplantae, Streptophyta, Magnoliopsida, Fabales, Fabaceae. The transcript has a single exon. The record is from RefSeq and is a predicted model, not a curated record.